RNAcentral lists this ribosomal RNA (325 nucleotides) under uncultured bacterium. RNAcentral describes it as "bacterial SSU rRNA". It matches the Rfam family "Bacterial small subunit ribosomal RNA", at positions 28 to 334 of the family's 1533-position model. The record is from RNAcentral.
GACGAACGCUGGCGGCGUGCCUAACACAUGCAAGUCGAACGGAGUUAAUUGUUUAGAUCCCUUCGGGGUGACGAACUUUUAACUUAGUGGCGGACGGGUGAGUAACGCGUGAGCAACCUGCCUUUCAGAGGGGGACAACAGUUGGAAACGACUGCUAAUACCGCAUGAUAUACCGAGAAGGCAUCUUCAUGGUAUCAAAGAUUUAUCGCUGAAAGAUGGGCUCGCGUCCGAUUAGGUAGUUGGUGGGGUAACGGCCUACCAAGCCGACGAUCGGUAGCCGGACUGAGAGGUUGAUCGGCCACAUUGGGACUGAGACACGGCCCAG